UACGGAGGGGGCUAGCGUUAUUCGGAAUUAUUGGGCGUAAAGGGCGCGUAGGCGGCCCGGUAAGUCAAAGGUGAAAUCCCUCGGCUCAACUGAGGAACUGCCUUUGAAACUGUUGGGCUUGAGGCCGGGGGGGGGGUAGCGGAAUUCCCAGUGUAGCGGUGAAAUGCGUAGAUAUUGGGAGGAACACCGGUGGCGAAGGCGGCUACCUGGACCGGUUCUGACGCUGAUGCGCGAAAGCGUGGGUAGCAAACAGG
This 254-nucleotide ribosomal RNA is filed under the name uncultured prokaryote. Its description in RNAcentral is "partial 16S ribosomal RNA". It matches the Rfam family "Bacterial small subunit ribosomal RNA", at positions 524 to 776 of the family's 1533-position model. The record is from RNAcentral.